UCAUUUCGUUUCUCCCGAACGAAACACUGUUUUUGUAAACCCAAACCUCACCUUUUUGAAAAGAACUGUUUCCGAAAACUGUUUUUGUAAACUGUUUUUCGUUUCUCAGGAAUCGAAAUGAUAAUGAUGAUUUACCGAUGUGAGCCGGAGCUGGUUUGGUUCGGCACUGAUCACACCUAUAUAUGCCCACCUCUAGGGGGUCUAAAUCCUUUGUUGCUGUAUGAUAUUGAGUGCUGAGAUAUCCUGUUCCUGUUAGAAAUUCGGCUUCACAUAUCUGUAUGUUAUCCGAGCUUGUUACAAAGCACAUUUUGACAACUGUGUCCUGAUGAGAUUGCCAACAUCUGCUGAAUACUUCUAUGCCACGUACAAUGUAGAAAAUAAAGUUCAGGGUUGUGUAAAUAAAGAAAGUUUGUAAUGAUAACUCUGUAUAAUAAAAAAAUUAAAGUUUUGGGUGUUUGGGUGAAGACAAAAGCUCGAGGAUUUUCCGAGGUUCUCUUCCCUCUUGUGUGGGUUGCGAUGUGUUGUGUGUGUCUCUCUUCUCAUCUCUCAUUUGCUUUC
Long non-coding RNA from Ziziphus jujuba (common jujube), 558 nucleotides. RefSeq lists it as uncharacterized. The record is from RefSeq and is a predicted model, not a curated record. NCBI's taxonomy places the organism in Eukaryota, Viridiplantae, Streptophyta, Magnoliopsida, Rosales, Rhamnaceae. The transcript has 3 exons.